RNAcentral lists this ribosomal RNA (153 nucleotides) under Membranoptera alata. Its description in RNAcentral is "5.8S ribosomal RNA". It matches the Rfam family "5.8S ribosomal RNA". Rfam says of the family: 5.8S ribosomal RNA (5.8S rRNA) is a component of the large subunit of the eukaryotic ribosome. It is transcribed by RNA polymerase I as part of the 45S precursor that also contains 18S and 28S rRNA. Functionally, it is thought that 5.8S rRNA may be involved in ribosome translocation. The record is from RNAcentral. Lineage: Eukaryota; Rhodophyta; Florideophyceae; Ceramiales; Delesseriaceae.
AAACUCUUAGCGGUGGAUGUCUCGGCUCCCACAUCGAUGAAGAACGCAGCAAAAUGCGAAACGUAAUGUGAAUUGCAGAACUUGUGAAUCAUCGAAUCUUUGAACGCAAAUGGCGCUCGCGGGUAAUCCCACGAGCAUAUCUGUUUGAGUGUC